GUGGGGAAUCUUCCGCAAUGGACGAAAGUCUGACGGAGCAACGCCGCGUGAGUGAUGAAGGUCUUCGGAUUGUAAAGCUCUGUUAAUCGGGACGAAAGAGCCUAGUGUGAAUAAUGCUAGGAAGUGACGGUACCGGAAUAGAAAGCCACGGCUAACUACGUGCCAGCAGCCGCGGUAAUACGUAGGUGGCAAGCGUUGUCCGGAAUUAUUGGGCGUAAAGCGCGCGCAGGCGGAUCUGCCAGUCUGUCUUAAAAGUUCGGGGCUUAACCCCGUGAUGGGAUGGAAACUACAGAUGUAGAGUAUCGGAGAGGAAAGUGGAAUUCCUAGUGUAGCGGUGAAAUGCGUAGAUAUUAGGAAGAACACCAGUGGCGAAGGCGACUUUCUGGACGAAAACUGACGCUGAGGCGCGAAAGCCAGGGGAGCGAACGGGAUUAGAAACCCCAGUAGUCC
RNAcentral lists this ribosomal RNA (450 nucleotides) under uncultured bacterium. RNAcentral describes it as "partial 16S ribosomal RNA". It matches the Rfam family "Bacterial small subunit ribosomal RNA", at positions 354 to 796 of the family's 1533-position model. The record is from RNAcentral.